Molecule: ribosomal RNA, 444 nt
Filed under: uncultured bacterium
Lineage: Bacteria
Description: partial 16S ribosomal RNA
Rfam family: Bacterial small subunit ribosomal RNA
Source: RNAcentral
CUACGGGCUGCACCAGUGGGGAAUAUUGCACAAUGGGAGGCAGCGGGAGGAAGGAACGCCGCGUGAGGGCUUAAGGCCUUCGGGUUGUAAACCUCUUUUAGCAUUUAAUCCGCGCACGGGAAGGGAAGUGCAGAAAAAGCACCGGCUAACUACGUGCCAGCAGCCGCGGUAAUACGUAGGGUGCAAGCGUUGUCCGGAAUUAUUGGGCGUAAAGAGCUCGUAGGCGGUUUGUCACGUCUGCUGUGAAAAUCCAAGGCUCGACCUUGGACUUGCAGUGGGUACGGGCAGGCUAGAGUGCGGUAGGGGAGAUGGGAAUUCCUGGUGUAGCGGUGGAAUGCGCAGAUAUCAGGAGGAACACCAAUGGCGAAGGCACAUCUCUGGGCCGUAACUGACGCUGAGGAGCGAAAGCGUGGGGAGCGAACAGGAUUAGAUACCCCUGUAGUC